GAGAUGAGUCAUCCCUGACCCCUUGAGGGUCCUAAAGGGCCGUUGGAGACCACAACGUUGAUAGGUGGGGUGUGUAAGCGCGGCGACGUGUUGAGCUAACCCAUACUAAUUACCCGUGAGGCUUAACCAUACAACACCCAAGAAGUGUUC
RNAcentral lists this ribosomal RNA (150 nucleotides) under Aeromonas dhakensis. Its description in RNAcentral is "partial 23S ribosomal RNA". The stretch from base 1 to 130 matches the Rfam family "Bacterial large subunit ribosomal RNA", at positions 2801 to 2925 of the family's 2925-position model. The record is from RNAcentral. Lineage: Bacteria; Pseudomonadati; Pseudomonadota; Gammaproteobacteria; Aeromonadales; Aeromonadaceae.